RNAcentral lists this ribosomal RNA (822 nucleotides) under Pseudomonas aeruginosa. RNAcentral describes it as "bacterial SSU rRNA". The stretch from base 98 to 822 matches the Rfam family "Bacterial small subunit ribosomal RNA", at positions 1 to 849 of the family's 1533-position model. The record is from RNAcentral. Lineage: Bacteria; Pseudomonadati; Pseudomonadota; Gammaproteobacteria; Pseudomonadales; Pseudomonadaceae.
CGAUCUGGCGCUGGUGCAUCUCCUUAUCUGCGGCGAUGUGGGAUCGGCCCGGUGGCUCGUUCCUUACCGGUGCUUUGUGCUUGGUGGCCAGUUUUCUGCCCUCGCCAGCGUUAUAUUGUCAGGGAUCGGGCGCUAGUAGUGCUUAUUUCCUAGUGGAUAAACUGAGGGAUCUUCACACCUCACGCUAUCGCAUGGGCCUAGGUCGGAAUAGCUAGUUGGUGGAGUAAAGGCCUACCAGGGCUUCGAUCCAUAACUGACGACCUUCUCGCUGCAGUCACGCUGGAACUGACACACGGUUCAGACUCCUACGGAAGGGACCAGUGCCUGAUAUUGGACAAUGGGCAAAAGCCUGAUCCACCCAUGCCGCGUGUGUGAAGCAGGUCUUCGGAUUGUCAAGCACUUUAAGUUGCCAAGAAGGGCACUAAGUUAAUACCUUGCUGUUUUGACGAUUACCAACAUAGUAAGCACCGGCUAGCUUCGUGCCAGCAGCCGCGAUAAUACGAAGCGGUGCAAGCGUUAAUCGGAAUUACUGACCGUAAAGCUCGCGUACGUGGAUUCAACAAGUUGGAUGUGAACUCCCCGGGCUCAGCCUGCCAACUGCAUCCAAGCUACUGAGCUACAGUACGGGUAGACGGCGAUGGAAUUUCCUGUGUACCCGAGAAAUGCGUAGAUAUAACAAGGAACACCCUGCUUAAGGCGACCACCUGCACUGAUACUGACAUUGACGUGCUGAACCCGGGGGAGCAAAACGAUUACAUACCCUGGUAGUCACACCGUAUACGAUGUCCACUAGCCGUUGGCAUCAUGAAAUCUUACUGACGA